UCCUCGUGUGACGUUCCUGGUGGGUUUGAGGCAGCAUUUUCCAGUGCAGUGCCUACAAGAAAAGCAGAACCAGAACACAAGACAAAGCACCGUUUGACGAUGCCCACUCCAAGUUGGACCAGGUCUGGAAAAAGUUGACUGAAGGCACCAUCGCAGAACUCUUGCCUGAAGAAGAAGAGGACAAUGCAUGUAAUUUAGAUUUUGCAGUCUGCCAUCAAUUAAGUUGUACGAAAAUCACUAGACUGAAGAGGGUAUUUGUGUGAGAAAGGGCAGGAACGUCUGGAUGUACAAUGGUUUCUGCAUUAGUGAAGCUGCUGCGAUAUAGUCUGCUGUUUGCAUCUGCUAACCUGUGGUGACCAGAAGCCAUUAUUUCCAACGGACACAAUGGCAACCAGAAACAUUACUCUCACGAUACUGAAGAAUGCAAAUGCAUUAUCUCAUGACCUCCAAGGAUAUGGACUCCAGACACUGCAGUGUGACAGCUAAACCAAGGAGCAUCGGAUGUGAUGGAAUUGCUCUACAAGCAACCUUGCCAAAGGCCCUUUUGCUGCACAAAGCUGGCUCUAUCUUUGUAUAUUGAGGGAGCUAAAUCAAUGUUAAAUGCUUGGCUCUUUUCACAGGACAAUGACCAGAACCUAAGCUGCGUCCUUCCUUUUUGAUUGACACUUGAAACGUUGAGUUGGAAUCAGCCAGAGGCACUGCUACAAGCUUGAAGCCUCUGCUGGGGAUAACAACUGGUGACAUCUGCAGAAAGGCCGACAAAAGGCAGUUGAAAGCUGUGUUUGUUGCUUUCCCCUCUCAGAUCUCCUCUCUUUCAUGGAGCUCCUUACUUGCUUUAAUAUUAUGAUUCAGCACCUGGCUCUUUUGAACCUUGCUUUAAACUUCAAAAGGCGAGGUGGUAUUAACAAACAUGAAACGAAAAAGUGGCAGUAGUUUGAUUUACUGUUGUCGUCUUAUCAAGGGGGUUUUUUGUCACCAGCUGCCACUUUCUGUCAUCUUUGGAACCAUUAUCAUUUCUCUAAAAUCUAAAAGACUCCACUUAAUAACAGCUUUGAAUACAGGCAGGAUCAGUAACAUAUACAGUUCUGGGAUGACAGGACUGUCAAAUGAAAAGAAAGAUGUUGCAAAAAAAAAAACAACCCUUAAAAAAAAACAAUAAAACAAAUAAAAGCUGUAGUACUUCUAAGUGACCUUGAUUUCAGAAUUAAACAAAUGAAGCGCAAUUCCAUUGUUCCUUUUGGAUUCAUUCUGCACUUUCCUUGUAACAUUUCUUUUUUGUUCUUGGGACUAAGGGAAAACAAAGCCAAGGCUUCCAGAAAAACUGCUCAGUGCACAACGAGCACUUGGUAUCACAUGAGCACCGUAAGCUCCUCACUUGUAAAAGCGCCAGUGAUAAUUACCAGUCUCAUUUUACUGCCGUCCUAGCACAGCAGCUCUCAUUCAGGCUGAAAUAGAGCCUUGAAAGCUGCCUUACUAGGGCAGACUCACUGGUCAAAAAUCUGUUUGACUCUUACUUUACAGCACCUUUCCGUGUUUCCCUGCUGUCUUUUCCAGUAGCGCUGUGCUGCGCUUCAGCUGCCAGGGCAGAACCCAAAAUGUCUCUGUGCAUCAUUAGGCCAGUUUGCCUAUCAUAGCUUUCCAGGUUCAGUUAAAAACAAUCAAAUAAAUACAAACCAGUUUCUGGCCAUCGAUCUACUGCACUUUCUCACUUGCCACCUCACCAUCAUCUAUGGGAAUAUCAUCCUUAUUCCAUUUGUUGUUGUUUUAUAAUGGUAUAUACAAUGAACUUAUCUCAAAGGAGAAA
This is a non-coding RNA of Phalacrocorax carbo (great cormorant), 1804 nucleotides long. Lineage: Eukaryota; Metazoa; Chordata; Aves; Suliformes; Phalacrocoracidae. The record is from RefSeq and is a predicted model, not a curated record.